Trichonephila inaurata madagascariensis is the source of this 73-nucleotide non-coding RNA. The record is from the annotation of a GenBank genome assembly. NCBI's taxonomy places the organism in Eukaryota, Metazoa, Arthropoda, Arachnida, Araneae, Nephilidae.
GUCUCUGUAGCGCAAUGAAUAGCGCGUUGAACUUCUAAUCCAAAAAUUGUUGUUUCAAAUUCCACCUGGGAUG